AUUGAGUUGCCAUUUCUCUUUUAGCCUUCUUCAUUCAAUAUGAAACAAUUCUCAACUUUUUCUUGACUUUCAUGAUUUUGACCUGAGAAGACUCUAGGCCAGUGAGAUUAAGCAAAUACUUCUGAGAUCGUGCAAGGAACUAUUGAAGCUGACAAAUGCAGUAUGGAAUUUCACAAGCCGCCCUUUCUAGCAGAGAAAGCUGAGUGUGCAGUACUUGAGGCAUCAGGAAAUAAAAACACCUGGUUACAAUUUAUCGCCA
Eptesicus fuscus (big brown bat) is the source of this 259-nucleotide long non-coding RNA. RefSeq lists it as uncharacterized. The record is from RefSeq and is a predicted model, not a curated record. The transcript has 2 exons. Lineage: Eukaryota; Metazoa; Chordata; Mammalia; Chiroptera; Vespertilionidae.